GGUCAAGUUAUUAAGGGUGCAGGGCGGAUGCCUUGGCACUAGGAGCCGAUGAAGGACGUGAUAAGCUGCGAUAAGCUUCGGGGAGUUGCACGUAAACUUUGAUCCGAAGAUUUCCGAAUGAGGAAACUCACUUAGAGUAAUGUCUAAGUAUCAUUAAGUGAAUACAUAGCUUAAUGAGGGGAACUCAGGGAACUGAAACAUCUAAGUACCUGAAGGAAGAGAAAGAAAUUCGAUUCCGUAAGUAGCGGCGAGCGAACGCGGAUUAGCCCAAACCAAUAAAGUUUUCUUUAUU
Molecule: ribosomal RNA, 292 nt
Filed under: Clostridioides difficile
Lineage: Bacteria; Bacillati; Bacillota; Clostridia; Peptostreptococcales; Peptostreptococcaceae
Description: partial 23S ribosomal RNA
Rfam family: Bacterial large subunit ribosomal RNA
Source: RNAcentral